UGAAUUAGCCGAGAAUCGAACCCGGGCCGCUCACGUGGAAGGCGAGCAUUCUACCACUGAACCACC
Molecule: transfer RNA, 66 nt
Filed under: Cordylochernes scorpioides
Lineage: Eukaryota; Metazoa; Arthropoda; Arachnida; Pseudoscorpiones; Chernetidae
Description: tRNA-Gly
Source: RNAcentral